Pelobates cultripes (western spadefoot toad) is the source of this 272-nucleotide non-coding RNA. The record is from the annotation of a GenBank genome assembly. Lineage: Eukaryota; Metazoa; Chordata; Amphibia; Anura; Pelobatidae.
GCCAGCCCCUAUCGAAGAGUUGCCCGAAGAGAUCCUGUUUACGCCCAUCAGACCAGAGUCUCCAUGCGAAUCUCUCACCCCCUCAACUCCCACGUCCUUGAGAGCAUGGACUAUCCCUAAAAUUACGGCCAAACUUAGGCUCAGGGGAAUCCCCUUUCCAGCUACGGCUAGAAAGGCGGAACUCUACAGACUGCUCACCUACCAAGCCCCUGAGCCUAGGCCAGGCACUAGCUCUCAAGGACAGCCACCAAGCGCUGGCACGGCCACCCAGG